GCGAAAACUUUACAAUGCUGGCAACAGCGAUAAGGGAACCUCGAGUGCCAGGUUACAAAUCUGGCUGUCGAGAUGCCUAAAAAGCAUUUCAUAGCAAGGGCCGGGCAAGACCGGUGCCAGCCGCCGCGGUAACACCGGCGGCUCGAGUGGUAACCGUUAUUAUUGGGUCUAAAGGGUCUGUAGCCGGCCGGAUAAGUCUCUUGAGAAAUCUGGCAGCUUAACGGUCAGGCUGUCAGGAGGUACUGUCUGGCUCGAGGCCGGGAGAGGUGAGGGGUACUUCAGGGGUAGGGGUGAAAUCUUGUAAUCCUUGAAGGACCACCAGUGGCGAAGGCGUCUCACCAGAACGGACCUGACGGCAAGGGACGAAAGCUAGGGGCACGAACC
This 384-nucleotide ribosomal RNA is filed under the name uncultured prokaryote. RNAcentral describes it as "bacterial SSU rRNA". It matches the Rfam family "Archaeal small subunit ribosomal RNA", at positions 341 to 725 of the family's 1478-position model. The record is from RNAcentral.